GCCGGGCCGGGGGCGGGAACCGGCUCGGAUGCUCAGGGACGGUGGGGGUGGCAGGGCCCGCCGCCCUGAGGCUGCCUUUCCGCGCAUUCCCUCGUUUAUUGGCUCACUCUUCCUUUCAUCCAUCCUCCUUUGCGCAGCAAUAUUUGAUGGGAAGCCUGCCAAGAGGCAGGGAGAAAGACACGUGGGCAAGAGAAUACCAUGUGGAGACACAGAUACACGAGGGGAGGAUGCCUGCUGACCAUGGAGGCAGAAAUAGGACUGACGCAUUGAUCAGCCGAGGGAUGCCAAGCACUGCCAGCAAACACCAGACGCUUGAUGGGGCCGAGGAUUCUCCUGUGCAGGUUUCAGAGGGAGCUGGGCCUUGCAGACACCUUGAUUCCUGACUUCUGGCCUCUAAAAUGUGUGACUCUACAAUGUGUGAUUGCUCCUGGUGAAUCAAAAGGAUAAAGCUGCUGAUUCUGCAAUUUGAUAACCCAACCAUGCUGACCUCAAAAUGUAGUCAAUCCAUGAAGUUCCUCCCACCACAGCUCAUCCUGAACACUGCCCACCUGAGUCAUCAAGAAGGUUUAAGUACAUUAUCUGUGCUCUGUUUAAUAUGUCGGUGAAGUGUGUCCUAAAUUUAGUCAUUUCUAGGACCUCUUUCUAGUUCCCAAGUAAGCCAGGUUCUACUGCUGUCAAGUGUUAUUCAUGGCUAGCUGAGGAAAAGGGGUUCAAAAACACUGAGAAGAAGAAAAGGAGGGAGAAGGCUGGGUUAAUGGGGACAGGGGUAAGGGGUGAGACCCCGGCUAAACAGUGAAGAUAAAAACAGACAUGUAAAUGAGAGAACCGGAAGAGAAGGUAAUGGUGAAAUUCAAUACAGAAAGGAAAGGGGUUGUAGGGGACAAACACUGAGAGGGCAAGAACUUGGAAAAGGUAAAACUAAGGUGAACGAGGAGGCUGAAGAGAGGUCAGCUGCAGCGGAAAGAGGGAAGGGCCCUUUAAGAGACACAUCAAGCCGCAGGUGUGGGCCACGAGGCUGGCGGCUGGCGCAGGGCUGUCGCUUCACGCACCGCAGACUCAUCCUGGAGCGGCUUGGGAGCUGCGGAGCCCUAGAGCCUCCAUCCGGGCAGCAAACGAGCUCACGUGUCCCACCCAGGAAGGGCAGGGAGUGGGCGAGGAAUGGUGGAGGGAAAGGAGGGAAAGCGGAGAAACAGGAAGGAGGGGGAAAGCUGCGGCUGCAGAAAAGAAACGAGUAAGCCCCUUUGUUCUUGGCCUGCGAGGUGUUUCCUUCCCGAGCAGACUCGAAGCUGUCACCUCUCAGUCUAGGUUUGGAAUAAAUACACUCGCCCACCGAGAGAUGAGGCGGCGCCUGGCCGCACCUGGGAGGUGCCUGGUCGCACCUGGCAGGUACCUGGCCGCUCCUUUCCUGGAGCCACGGGCACGGGCCCCUCCUGGACUUUCUACUGCUCUGCAGGAGGAUCCGAUGACUGUGACCGACUGGGAGACAGACCCAGGAGUGCCCGGCGGGGUGGAGGGUCUGGAGACUGCAAUUGGGGUACUCAAGAGAGGGCUGCCGGCCUGAGGAGCAGCGAUGUCCACGGAAUCGGCCAUAAAGGAUCAAAGGGGCUAGGCAGACCCCUCAUUCUGGUUUUCUCCUCCGAACAUUGGUCUCUGCGAUUUUCUUGGGAACAUUUUCCAGCCGGCUGGCUAGUAGCAGACAGAUCAUGAGCAGAACAGGUCGCGCCACUGGAGAGAACUCACGUGCUGGCUGGGGAGGGCACCUGAGGCCCAGCGGGGAUCGGGGACGGGGCGGGGGCCGGGGAGGGGGGGUCCUGGAGGUUACUCCCUCCUUAGGGAAGCUUCCCAAAGCUGGGGACGCUGUGGCCUUGUACCUCACUGAAUGGUGUCAUAUUCCACUCCAUCACUGCAGCCUGGAUUCUCCUCUCCUCCCGUCCCCCCUCCC
Long non-coding RNA from Pongo pygmaeus (Bornean orangutan), 1942 nucleotides. RefSeq lists it as uncharacterized. The transcript has 3 exons. The record is from RefSeq and is a predicted model, not a curated record. Lineage: Eukaryota; Metazoa; Chordata; Mammalia; Primates; Hominidae.